This 325-nucleotide small RNA is filed under the name Candidatus Nitrotoga sp. LAW. Its description in RNAcentral is "Long range pseudoknot". The record is from RNAcentral. Lineage: Bacteria; Pseudomonadati; Pseudomonadota; Betaproteobacteria; Nitrosomonadales; Gallionellaceae.
ACGGAUGAUGGUGAUUACAAUAUUAAGUUGCGUAAUCUAAUUCGAUUUCUAGGGGAAGGUGAUAAAACCAAAAUUACGUUACGUUUUCGUGGGCGUGAGAUCGCACAUCAGAAUAUUGGUAUGCAAAUGAUAGAGCGGGUUAUGGCUGAUCUUGGAGAGUAUGGUACUGUUGAACAGUAUCCUAAAAUGGAAGGUCGUCAGAUGGUAAUGGUACUGGCGCCGAAAAAAAAAUAAUUUAUGAGGUAAACCUCCGGUCAUGCCGAGGUGAUUUUUUUGAUGCUGCUCGGGUUAAGGGACUGGUCAGAGCAGAUUAGUAGUAAACAGU